GUCGAGCGAACUGAUUAGAAGCUUGCUUCUAUGACGUUAGCGGCGGACGGGUGAGUAACACGUGGGCAACCUGCCUGUAAGACUGGGAUAACUUCGGGAAACCGAAGCUAAUACCGGAUAGGAUCUUCUCCUUCAUGGGAGAUGAUUGAAAGAUGGUUUCGGCUAUCACUUACAGAUGGGCCCGCGGUGCAUUAGCUAGUUGGUGAGGUAACGGCUCACCAAGGCAACGAUGCAUAGCCGACCUGAGAGGGUGAUCGGCCACACUGGGACUGAGACACGGCCCAGACUCCUACGGGAGGCAGCAGUAGGGAAUCUUCCGCAAUGGACGAAAGUCUGACGGAGCAACGCCGCGUGAGUGAUGAAGGCUUUCGGGUCGUAAAACUCUGUUGUUAGGGAAGAACAAGUACGAGAGUAACUGCUCGUACCUUGACGGUACCUAACCAGAAAGCCACGGCUAACUACGUGCCAGCAGCCGCGGUAAUACGUAGGUGGCAAGCGUUAUCCGGAAUUAUUGGGCGUAAAGCGCGCGCAGGCGGUUUCUUAAGUCUGAUGUGAAAGCCCACGGCUCAACCGUGGAGGGUCAUUGGAAACUGGGGAACUUGAGUGCAGAAGAGAAAAGCGGAAUUCCACGUGUAGCGGUGAAAUGCGUAGAGAUGUGGAGGAACACCAGUGGCGAAGGCGGCUUUAUGGUCUGUAACUGACGCUGAGGCGCGAAAGCGUGGGGAGCAAACAGGAU
This 736-nucleotide ribosomal RNA is filed under the name Bacillus sp. FJAT-4335. Its description in RNAcentral is "bacterial SSU rRNA". It matches the Rfam family "Bacterial small subunit ribosomal RNA", at positions 61 to 778 of the family's 1533-position model. Lineage: Bacteria; Bacillati; Bacillota; Bacilli; Caryophanales; Bacillaceae. The record is from RNAcentral.